UCUUCCAACGUUGUUUCAUUUCACCCAUUUUCCCUCUUCUCUCUUUUCUCAACAAACCCUAGCGCAGCCGCUGAUUUCAUCACCUUCUUGAAGUUCUUCCUUCAACAAUAUCAGGUACUAUCUUUCUCCAACUCCUUCUUCAACCUCCAUUUCUUUCACUGCACUAACUCAUCAAUCUUACAUAUGAUUUCGUUUUUGCUUUGCUUUGUCUGAAAAGGAAGAGAAAACACAGGCUCGAUGUAUUUCUCAUUUCGUUUUCAAUUUAGUUGGACAGAUUCAUUACGAAGUAGAUUCGGUAACAUUAUAAUGAGUUUCUUUGUGUUGAUUUUCUAAAUUAACUGAAAUGAAAUUAUAUUACCUAAAAAUUACCUGUUGUUCUUGAGUAUAUGUUUCGAAAUCGAUUUGCAAAUUUCAUGUUUUGAAAUCGAUUUGCAAAUUUCUGUUCCCCAUCGCAAAUUGAAUGGAUUUGUUCCUGUUGUUGCCUACCUUUAUUGCUCUGGUUUUGUCGAUUUUCGCGAGGCUUUUUUGUUCAUAUUUUGGGUUGCUACCUUUUGUUAAGUUUUGUGCAGGUUAUGAAGUCGAUUCAACUGUGAAAUGCUGCUUUGCUACACUAUGGUUACACAGUCGUAUCAUUCACUGUUUCUUAGUCAGCAUCACCAACAACACCCCGUAUUUGGACAACUUCAUCACAACGUAAAUUUCGGUAACAUUGCCUAACAUUGGUUUUCUCCAUAUCGAUUUCUUCUAUGAGUUUCUGGGAUGAAAAAAGAAGUUGGGAUUCGAAGAAAAAUUUAUUUAGCUUCAUAACUAGACAUUAAUCCUUAAAAAGAAGUUAGAGUUUAAACUUUGGCAGCCAAUCAUUUAGAAGUGGAUGCACUUUUUGCUUACACAAAGGCAGGGCACAUGGCAUCAUAUUUGGGAUAAUCUCUUAAUUAUUCUUUUAACACUUUCAUAUUUUGCAGACAGUUUUUCAACAAAUAAGAUCUCAUGGCCAAAUUCCGUUGUUAUAUUAGUCUCAUUACCAGAUUCUUCAAUAUACUACAUGUUAGCUCUAGCUUGCAUAAAGUAUCUAUAGUAAUCAAAUGAAAGACAUGUUUUAUAGAUAGGAAAGUACAUAUUUUUGUCAAAGUUUGUACUCAUGUGCAUUUUGAAAUUUUAUAUACGCACACAUGUAUUUGAUAAAAUUUUGCUCUGGAUUUUCAUCAACAUCAGGAUACUUGAUGUUGACAAUGAACUAAUUAAGCUGAGUGCCAACUAUUGUGGUACAAAUAAUGACCUGUUUCACUACUAACUAUCUUGCCGACACUUUCAAAACGUAGGUACUCUCUUUUUCAUAUAGAAAGUUGGUUCACAAGACUUAUAAGACUACAUAUAAGAUAAAGGGAAAGUUGGAUUUGUUUGUGUCAUUUGAGUUCUACUGUUCUAAUUGUUUCAUUUAAGUUCUAUUGUUCUAUUUGUAUAACUCUCUGUAUAGCUCACAUGUGUUUGAGUUUAUUCUAAAUUUUGAAUGUGGAAAAACCUAACCUUUUGCCAAGUUUGUUCAUCUGCUAUUUUGACGUUUCAGUUUAAGAAACAUAAACUCUAUGUGACUGUGAUACAAUUAUGCGUUCCUUUGUUGGAAAAAAUUUAGGUAAGGUUGGCUGCUUUGCGAAAUGCGGGUGCUGAACGGAAGGAGUAAGUCUCAGCUUGGACUACUAAUCGGAAACUCGAAAGUGUCUAUGCAAUGAAUUUACAGUAAAUUGACAAUAGUGUUGUUAUUCCUCCAAACUGGUAUAGUUUGAUUUAAUCUACUACUGUUAUAGGACUAAUUCAUAGAAACUGAUGGCACAUUUAACAAAAUUGACCACGACAAUAACAAUGCAGGUCCGCUAUGUCAUGUGUGUGUUUCUGCCUCUUUGCGGUUGGCGUAUCAUGAACUGAUCGCCGCAUAUGAUUCAGUUUGGUUCAGGUGGUAGUUUAUAUCUGCUGGAAUUUCAAAUUGAUCAAACUCAUGUAGCUGUGAGUCUGCAACAUAAUUUUGUUCUGCAGCGAAAUUAUUUUUUUCCGAAUCUGUUACUGCAACUGUGUUGUUUGGCUAAAUGUGAUAAAUAUACGAUUUUGUAUUUUUAAAUUUUCAAGUAAAAUGUUGGCUUCUUCA
This is a long non-coding RNA of Vicia villosa (hairy vetch), 2137 nucleotides long. RefSeq lists it as uncharacterized. The record is from RefSeq and is a predicted model, not a curated record. The transcript is spliced from 2 exons. Lineage: Eukaryota; Viridiplantae; Streptophyta; Magnoliopsida; Fabales; Fabaceae.